AAUCAACGCUGGCGGCGUGCCUCAGACAUGCAAGUCGAACGAUUAAAGCUCUCUUCGGAGAGUGUAUAGAGUGGCGCACGGGUGAGUAACACGUAAGUAAUCUACCUUCGAGUGGGGAAUAACGUCCGGAAACGGACGCUAAUACCGCAUAAUGCAGCGGCAUCGCAAGAUGACAGUUGUUAAAGAUUUAUCGCUUGAAGAGGAGCUUGCGGCAGAUUAGCUAGUUGGUAAGGUAACGGCUUACCAAGGCUACGAUCUGUAUCCGGUCUAAGAGGACGGUCGGACACACUGACACUGAAUAACGGGUCAGACUCCUACGGGAGGCAGCAGUCGGGAAUUUUGGGCAAUGGGCGAAAGCCUGACCCAGCAACGCCGCGUGAAGGAUGAAGUA
Molecule: ribosomal RNA, 391 nt
Filed under: uncultured bacterium
Lineage: Bacteria
Description: bacterial SSU rRNA
Rfam family: Bacterial small subunit ribosomal RNA
Source: RNAcentral